RNAcentral lists this transfer RNA (66 nucleotides) under Abscondita cerata. Its description in RNAcentral is "tRNA-Trp". Lineage: Eukaryota; Metazoa; Arthropoda; Insecta; Coleoptera; Lampyridae. The record is from RNAcentral.
AAGGAUUUAAGUUAAAAAAAACUAUCAACCUUCAAAGUUGCAAAAUAAAGUCUACUUUAAGCCUUA